Molecule: long non-coding RNA, 1452 nt
Organism: Gymnodraco acuticeps
Lineage: Eukaryota; Metazoa; Chordata; Actinopteri; Perciformes; Bathydraconidae
Exons: 3
Source: RefSeq, a predicted model, not a curated record
GUAAUUUUGUCCGACGUUGAAAUCUCGCGGGACAAAGACGCCCGCAGCCUUGAGAGCGAGGCGGCGCAGUUCCUCACCACUGGCUGCGGAAGCGAAAUGCUCCUACUGUAACUAACCUGCACACUAAUGAUGUGGUGGUGACAGUGCAGACUCAGGGAGGAGGCAGAGAAGGAGAGAAAGAGACACAAGAGUUACAGAGCCAGGGCCCUCGAGCAAGGCAGCCAACGAGGAGAGCAGAGGUGAAGAGGCAGAAGUACCAGUACAAGAAGAGGUCGAGGACCAUGAAAGCAGCACAGAUGAGGAGGAAGCAGCUAUGGACAGUCAAUGUCAGGGACAAAGUGAGGCUCCGACACAGGAUGCCACAGAUACUGAGCCACCUGUAGUGGUGUCUGAGGUAGAAGAUCUGCUAUCACUUGACCCAGGGUUGUUCCCAGCUAGGAUGAGUGACAAGGACAGGGCAACUAUUGUAAAGAAAUUAGCAAUGCGAGAAACAGAUCAAGAAUUUCCACAUGAUUCAAAGGGAAAGAGAUUUCCAGAUUACUUGAAAUACACCAAAGCAGAUAAGGGUAGAGGAAAAGUGAAAAGGAACUGGUUGAUUCACAGUGAAAGUGCAAAUGCACUGUUCUGCAUACCAUGUGUUCUUUUCUCCAAAGAGUAAAAAAUACCCUCUCUUAGUGCUUUGAGUAGUGACCAGGGAUACAAGAUGUGUGACGUCGAGUGGCGUCGCAUGUAUGAUAAAUUCCCAAGCCAUGAAACAAGUAGGAAUCACAGGGACUGUUAUUUGCGAUGGAAACACCUACAGUGUUCGGUUAUGACUGCAUGUGGCGUUGAUCAUCAGUUGCAGAGAGAGCUACAGUCUGAAAUUGAGAAAAACAAAGCUAUCUUGCAGAGACUCCUUGAUGUCAUUCUGCACUUGGCAACGAGGAAUUUAGCUUUCCGAGGUAAAACGCAUGCUUUGGGCGAUGUCCACAAUGGAAAUAUUGUAGGUACGCUAGAACUUUUGUCACGAUAUGAUCCACUCUUGAAAGACCACUUAGACAAAAUCAGGACAUCCAAAAAAGGAAGCCAGCUAACUCAUUAUCUGAGCCCAGACAUCCAGAACGAGUUUAUUGAAUUGUGUGGGGGAAAGGUUUUAAAAACUAUUCUGACAGAAAGGGAGAAUGCCAUAUACUAUGGAAUCAUUUGUGAUGCAACGCCUGACAUUUCCCACACCGAGCAAAAUGUUGUGCUUAUAAGAUAUGUACAUUAUAAUGAAGACACAGGCGAAUGGGAGAUUACUGAAAGAUUUAUUGAAUUCAAAGAUUUCAACGGAAAAACAGGAUGUGAAAUAGCAGGCAUGAUGGAGAGUGUGCUUCUGGAUCUAGGGAUAGACAUUAGUGAUUGCAGGGGGCAAGGAUAUGAUAAUGGGGCGAAUAUGUCAGGGAAAAUCAAGGGAGUCCAAGCCCAAAUACU